Molecule: small RNA, 703 nt
Filed under: Oryza sativa Japonica Group (Japanese rice)
Lineage: Eukaryota; Viridiplantae; Streptophyta; Magnoliopsida; Poales; Poaceae
Description: sRNA Os01g0960450
Source: RNAcentral
ACCUCUCUAACUAUAUUUCUUCCAUGAGAAAUAGGUUGCAUCCCUGUCAGCAGUUCCAGAAAAACAACACCAAGGCUGUACACGUCACUUUUGUCUGUCAGCUUAUGAGUAAGGAAAUACUCCGGAUCAAGAUAACCCGGGGUACCCUUUAUAACAGUUGACACAUGACCAGGAGCAAUCCCCUCUGAUUCUGGCUCUGGGGCAAGCCGAGAGAGACCAAAAUCAGCAACUUUUGCGACAAACUUUGAGUCCAGUAAAAUAUUGCUUGCUUUGAUGUCACGGUGAAAUAUUGGAGGGUCUGCUUCUGUGUGUAAAUAGAGGAUGCCUCGCGACGACCCCAGCGCAAUUCGUAACCUCGUGGGAAAAUUUAGGGGCUCUUUUGAUCGAGCUGCUACAUGAGACAAUUGUUAGGGCAACUAGUACCAGGAACAACCUGCUCAUCUUCUUCAUCACAAUAACCAAGCAAUGAAACAAGGUUCCGGUGAUGCAGCCUGGACAGCAAUUCUAUCUCUGUGAAGAACUCCUUCGAACCCUGAAGAGAUCCCUGCUGCGCACGUUUUAUUGCUACUAUUGUUCCAUCAGAGAGAAUACCUCUGUACACUUUCCCAUACCCUCCUUGACCAAUUAGUGCUGAGUCACUAAAGUCGUUUGUACCAUGUGACAGUUCUUGAAAACUGAAGUCUUUUACACCAUCAAUCUUCAU